This 444-nucleotide ribosomal RNA is filed under the name Salmonella enterica. Its description in RNAcentral is "bacterial SSU rRNA". It matches the Rfam family "Bacterial small subunit ribosomal RNA", at positions 1 to 443 of the family's 1533-position model. The record is from RNAcentral. Lineage: Bacteria; Pseudomonadati; Pseudomonadota; Gammaproteobacteria; Enterobacterales; Enterobacteriaceae.
AAAUUGAAGAGUUUGAUCAUGGCUCAGAUUGAACGCUGGCGGCAGGCCUAACACAUGCAAGUCGAACGGUAGCACAGAGAGCUUGCUCUCGGGUGACGAGUGGCGGACGGGUGAGUAAUGUCUGGGAAACUGCCUGAUGGAGGGGGAUAACUACUGGAAACGGUGGCUAAUACCGCAUAACGUCGCAAGACCAAAGAGGGGGACCUUCGGGCCUCUUGCCAUCAGAUGUGCCCAGAUGGGAUUAGCUAGUUGGUGAGGUAACGGCUCACCAAGGCGACGAUCCCUAGCUGGUCUGAGAGGAUGACCAGCCACACUGGAACUGAGACACGGUCCAGACUCCUACGGGAGGCAGCAGUGGGGAAUAUUGCACAAUGGGCGCAAGCCUGAUGCAGCCAUGCCGCGUGUAUGAAGAAGGCCUUCGGGUUGUAAAGUACUUUCAGCGGG